RNAcentral lists this small RNA (103 nucleotides) under Salmonella enterica. RNAcentral describes it as "partial RtT sRNA". It matches the Rfam family "RtT RNA", at positions 1 to 101 of the family's 130-position model. From Rfam's summary of the family: This family represents a bacterial cis-regulatory element known as RtT RNA. Lineage: Bacteria; Pseudomonadati; Pseudomonadota; Gammaproteobacteria; Enterobacterales; Enterobacteriaceae. The record is from RNAcentral.
GUUUGCACUUAUCGGGGAAGGGUGAGAACCUUCGAUUAAGGUUCGACUCGAGCGAAAGCGAGAGAACGUUGCCAACGGCAACGGCCCGUAGGGUGAGGAGCGA